This 254-nucleotide ribosomal RNA is filed under the name uncultured bacterium. RNAcentral's name for it is "partial 16S ribosomal RNA". It matches the Rfam family "Bacterial small subunit ribosomal RNA", at positions 524 to 776 of the family's 1533-position model. The record is from RNAcentral.
UACGAAGGGGGCUAGCGUUGCUCGGAAUCACUGGGCGUAAAGCGCACGUAGGCGGAUUGCUAAGUCAGGGGUGAAAUCCUGGAGCUCAACUCCAGAACUGCCUCCGAUACUGAGAGUCUUCGAGUCCGGGAGAGGUGAGUGGAACUGCGAGUGUAGAGGUGAAAUUCGUAGAUAUUCGCAAGAACACCAGUGGCGAAGGCGGCUCACUGGCCCGGUACUGACGCUGAGGUGCGAAAGCGUGGGGAGCGAACAGG